Chelonia mydas (Green sea turtle) is the source of this 176-nucleotide long non-coding RNA. RefSeq lists it as uncharacterized. The transcript is spliced from 3 exons. Lineage: Eukaryota; Metazoa; Chordata; Testudines; Cheloniidae. The record is from RefSeq and is a predicted model, not a curated record.
GGCCGACACCCUGUCUCCUGGCGACUGACGGCCUGGGCCCCGCCCCUGCAAAGGUGCCGACGGAAGGGGCUGGAGAACAGAGAGAUCAGGUGGCCUCCUGACUCAGGAAGGAGACAAAGGAGAGGAGGGGCUGGAGACUUUCAGUUUGGAGCUGGCUGGGGAAAUGGAGGGAGGCC